UGGGGAAUAUUGCACAAUGGGGGAAACCCUGAUGCAGCGACGCCGCGUGAACGAAGAAGGUAUUCGUAUCGUAAAGUUCUGUCCUAUGGGAAGAUAAUGACAGUACCAUAGAAGAAAGCUCCGGCUAAAUACGUGCCAGCAGCCGCGGUAAUACGUAUGGAGCGAGCGUUGUCCGGAAUUAUUGGGCGUAAAGGGUACGCAGGCGGUUUAAUAAGUCGAAUGUUAAAGAUCGGGGCUCAACCCCGUAAAGCAUUGGAAACUGAUAAACUUGAGUAGUAGAGAGGAAAGUGGAAUUCCUAGUGUAGUGGUGAAUUACAUAGAUAUUAGGAUGAAUACCAGUAGCGAAGGCGACUUUCUGGACACAAACUAACGCUGAGAUACGAAAGCGUGGGGAGCAAACAGG
RNAcentral lists this ribosomal RNA (403 nucleotides) under Actinomycetes bacterium. RNAcentral's name for it is "Actinobacteria bacterium partial 16S ribosomal RNA". It matches the Rfam family "Bacterial small subunit ribosomal RNA", at positions 355 to 776 of the family's 1533-position model. The record is from RNAcentral. Lineage: Bacteria; Bacillati; Actinomycetota; Actinomycetes.